GACGAACGCUGGCGGCGUGCCUAAUACAUGCAAGUCGGACGCAGUUUCGAACGGGUGAGUAACGCGUAGGUAACUCCCUCUUAGAGGGGGAUAACUCUUUGAAACGAUAGCUAAUACCGCAUACUAGCAGAUGGACCUGCGUGGUAUUAACUAGUUGGUGGGGUAAUGGCCUACCAAGGCAACGAUACAUAGCCGACCUGAGAGGGUGGUCGGCCACAACGGGACUGGGACCCGGCCCAGACCCCUACGGGAGGCAUGAGUAGGGAAUCUUCGGCAAUGGGGGGAACCCUGACCGGGCAACGGCCGGUGAGUGCAGAAGGUUUUUGGAUCGUAAAGCUCUGUUGUUAAGGAAGCGGUACUUAACCAGAAAGGGACGGCUAACUACGUGCCAGCAGCCGCGGUAAUAC
Molecule: ribosomal RNA, 407 nt
Filed under: uncultured bacterium
Lineage: Bacteria
Description: partial 16S ribosomal RNA
Rfam family: Bacterial small subunit ribosomal RNA
Source: RNAcentral